GGACUACAAGGGUUUCUAAUCCUGUUUGAUCCCCACGCUUUCGUGCAUGAGCGUCAAUAUCUGCGUAGUAAGCUGCCUUCGCAAUAGGUAUUCUAUGUCAUAUCUAAGCAUUUCACCGCUACAUGACAUAUUCUGCUUACCUCCACAGCAUUCAAGAUAUAUAGUAUCAAUGGCAAUUUCCGGGUUAAGCCCAGAGAUUUCACCACUGACUUACAUAUCCGCCUGCGCACCCUUUAAACCCAGUAAAUCCGGAUAACGCUUGCACCCUCCGUAUUACCGCGGCGGCUGGCAC
Molecule: ribosomal RNA, 292 nt
Filed under: uncultured Bacteroidota bacterium
Lineage: Bacteria; Pseudomonadati; Bacteroidota
Description: uncultured Bacteroidetes bacterium partial 16S ribosomal RNA
Source: RNAcentral